Long non-coding RNA from Agelaius phoeniceus (red-winged blackbird), 1017 nucleotides. RefSeq lists it as uncharacterized. The record is from RefSeq and is a predicted model, not a curated record. NCBI's taxonomy places the organism in Eukaryota, Metazoa, Chordata, Aves, Passeriformes, Icteridae.
UCCGAGAACAAGCACAUCUGAGCCUGCCAAGGGAAACAAACUGGCAGGAGAAAGGGGAACAAACUGGCUUGGAAAGCAACAGGAGAAUGGGGAGAAGUAACUCAGUGAUUGAAACAAGGACACUCUGGGAAAGCUUUGUAGGUGACUGCCAAUUGUCCAAAAGCAGAGUGGCUUGCUGCUGACUGCAAUUGCAGAAAGAAAAGGUGUCUGUGGUUGGGUGCAAAUACUCUCUGUACUUUCACAACAGCAGUAUAUGUGGGAAUCCUUGUCUGUUCCUGGAGUCUGAAAGCAGUUUUGGCACCUCUGCCACCAAAGGUAAAUAAUCUCAAGAAAGACACUUGUUUUUCUAAUAUGAUCCUGUUCAGUCUCCUCAAGGAUGUAGCACAAUGUUCAACCCUCAAGGCCAAAGCCAAACAAUAAAGUGAACUUUAACCUUUGAAGAACAGGCAUGUGAAAAGAAAAAGCUGUGGAAACAUUUCUUGAAGACACUGGUAUCAUGCCUUUCAUGAUAUAUGGUGGUCCAUGCACUUUCACCUAAGAACUCCUGUUGGAAACCAGCAGCUCUAGCAAAGGAAUGUCUCUCCUUAAUGACAGCAGCUUUGUGUGGUGACAGGACCUUGUUUCUUCCCAGGAAACUGUGUUCAGCAGAACAGAAUAACAUAUUGGGCCAGACCUGAGGGGAUUUUUAUGAGUUCCAUGUGAGAUGCUGAAGCCUUAACUUAAUUGGCCUUACAUUCCUCAGGAAGAUAUACACCCUGUAUCCACAUCCACUCAGUCUGCUCUCCUUUUCAACCUUGUUACCAUAACUAUUGAUUUCUCUUGCUUUAGUCCAGCCUGAUGCUCAUGUAAAUCAAGUCAGUUGCUACAAUCUGGGCUGUGCCAGAAGUGCAAAAUUUACAGCUUUUCUUGCUCUCCUCCUUUUCCUUCUACUGCCAGUGAUGUUUUAAUUUUAACAUUCUGCAUGGAGAUCAGAAAUGUACCCAAAGCUAUUUUGUGUCCCAACAAAUUCUUUGUCUG